CAGGGAGGUAGUGACAAGAAAUAACAAUACGGGGCUUAAUGUCUUGUAAUUGGAAUGAUGGGAAUUUAAACCUCUUCCAGAGUAUCAAUUGGAGGGCAAGUCUGGUGCCAGCAGCCGCGGUAAUUCCAGCUCCAAUAGCGUAUAUUAAAAUUGUUGCAGUUAAAAAGCUCGUAGUUGAAUUUCUGCUGCAUUACAUAUCUCUUGUUUGAGUUUGUUUUUGUGGCUUAUUUCGGUUUGAUUUUUACUUUCCGGAUGAUUACUUUGAGAAAAUUAGAGUGCUCUAAGCAGGCUUUUGCCUUGAUUAGUUUAGCAUGGAAUAAUAAAGUAGGACUUUGGUUCUAUUUUGUUGGUUUUAGGUACCAAAGUAAUGGUUAAUAGGAACAGUUGGGGGCAUUCGUAUUUAACUGUCAGAG
This 413-nucleotide ribosomal RNA is filed under the name Theileria orientalis. RNAcentral's name for it is "SSU rRNA". It matches the Rfam family "Eukaryotic small subunit ribosomal RNA", at positions 457 to 910 of the family's 1831-position model. The record is from RNAcentral. Lineage: Eukaryota; Apicomplexa; Aconoidasida; Piroplasmida; Theileriidae.